CAAACUCCAGAGUUCUGUUAUCGGAGCAUUUUACUAUUACAGCAGCUGUAUCAUAUGGACAUUUAAGCUACUUUAAAGAAAAUUAACAAGUAUUAAUGCAAUAAUAAUUAUUUUUAAAUAAAAGUGUAGCUACUUCUUAAUUUGGAAGAACAGAUUCAAGCAGUUUACGUAACAAAAUCCUUGAAACUCUUUUAGAGAGCCUUGAAAUCCAGGAUGGAUACUCACAUUCAGUCCAGACGAUAAUCACGGCCCAGAACAGCAACACUGUGACACUGCAGAGUCCUGCCAUAAUCACAGAGACACGAGAGGAUCACCACAGAGUCCAGACAAUCCAACAGUGAAGCAGUGGGCAGCCACCAAUCCAGCGCCCGGGAGCAGUGUGUAGGGACGGUACCUUGCUCAGGGGUACCUGAGGGUAGCCAUUCAGUGGAUUUGAACCCCCGACCUUCCGAUCAUGGGGCUUUUAAACUGAGUGUGGAUCCUUUUUAAUCCAGAGGACUUGGCGUCCAUGUUUUCCAAAAAGAAUUAAACAUCGCCCCCCGAGGACCCAAAGAUCACAGCAUGCAGCACUGACUGUCAGGCCUGUCUCCUGCACACAGAGAUUUCUCCACAUUUAAUGAAUCUUUUGUGGAUAUUUUUUCCUGUAGAUGCUGAGAGCUUCUUCCCAGUUUUAUGCUGAGAAAUAUUACUUGGAAACUGGUGCAGCUUUUUGCACAGCGGUGAAACUUUAUCCUUCAUUUGCUGGAGACAUUUUCCAAGUUGGGCCAAUUAUUCAUAAAGUGCUCCUCAAUCUGUUUCGUUUUUACUUUUCCAUCAAUUUGUUGAACCUGUCAGAAGUUUGUUGUUUCUGUCAUCUAAUUCAACAUUUUUCAUUAAAUAUUAAAAUAUCUCCGAUCAGACAUUU
This is a long non-coding RNA of Oreochromis aureus, 904 nucleotides long. NCBI's taxonomy places the organism in Eukaryota, Metazoa, Chordata, Actinopteri, Cichliformes, Cichlidae. The record is from Ensembl.